This 381-nucleotide ribosomal RNA is filed under the name uncultured eukaryote. Its description in RNAcentral is "partial 18S ribosomal RNA". It matches the Rfam family "Eukaryotic small subunit ribosomal RNA", at positions 592 to 977 of the family's 1831-position model. The record is from RNAcentral.
CAAUAGCGUAUAUUUAAGUUGUUGCAGUUAAAAAGCUCGUAGUUGGAUUUCGGAUGGGGACGACCGGUCCGCCGUUGCGGUGUGCACUGGUGGUCGUCAUCUUGAUGUCGGGGAUACGCUUCUGGCCUUAACUGGCUGGGACGUAGAGUCGGCGAUGUUACUUUGAAAAAAUUAGAGUGUUCAAAGCAGGCCUAAGCUCUGAAUACAUUAGCAUGGAAUAACGCGAUAGGACUCUGGUCUUAUUGUGUUGGUCUUCGAGACCGGAGUAAUGAUUAAGAGGGACAGUUGGGGGCAUUCGUAUUUCAUUGUCAGAGGUGAAAUUCUUGGAUUUAUGAAAGACGAACUUCUGCGAAAGCAUUUGCCAAGGAUGUUUUCAUUAAU